GUAGCGACUGUAGUAGGCGUUUGUGCAAAACUGCGGAAAAAUUACAGAAAAAGUGCGGGUGUUGAACCAUCUCAGCGGGAAAAGUAUCCCACGGAUGCGACGCCCCUGUAAUCAGGCCAAUCGCAUCGUACAGAUUACCUUGCCAAUCAACACAACGCUUUUCAAAUCGAUUAAUUUUUUUCGUUUCAGGAAGAGAGGGAUGCCUGGAACUUCAAAUGUGAACGUGUCUUUUAUUCUGCUUACCUAAAUCAUGCAGAAAUCUGGCUUGAUGUUUGGUCCACCAGUUAGCUGGCUCUGGUGCUUGAUAGUCUUCUUCAUCCUUCGAAUCAAGGCCAUCAGGAGUGGCUUUCUGAAGAUCAUCAUUAUGUACAGAUCCAGUUUUCUCUACUAUAAGACAGAACUGAACUGGAGUCUGUGAACUAAUGCUGUGUUCGAGACAACUUAGAUGUUGGAUAUUAUCAACCUCAAAACCGUAAGAAAUCUGGAACAGCAAACAAAGUUGGGUAUCCGACCUCUCAACUUGGGACAGAUCGAUCAACACCGACCUCAGCAAGAUGCGUCAUUUGACAUCGCAGAUAAGCACCUGAUCUGCUAAGAUGCACAGAUUCAACUCUGACCCACAUUUCAUCUGCUAUCAGUUUCAUUUAAUGUCCGUCAAAUGCAAAUGCUAUUU
This is a non-coding RNA of Paramisgurnus dabryanus, 673 nucleotides long. NCBI's taxonomy places the organism in Eukaryota, Metazoa, Chordata, Actinopteri, Cypriniformes, Cobitidae. The record is from RefSeq and is a predicted model, not a curated record.